UCCCAGUUGGUCUAGAGGUUAGGAUUUGUGACUUCCACCCACAAGGCCCGGGUUCGACUCCCGGACUGCGAA
Symsagittifera roscoffensis is the source of this 72-nucleotide non-coding RNA. The record is from the annotation of a RefSeq genome assembly. Lineage: Eukaryota; Metazoa; Xenacoelomorpha; Acoela; Convolutidae.